CACCUGGAAACAGAUGCUAAUACCGGAUAACAACAGAUGAUGCCUAUCAACUGUUUAAAAGAUGGUUCUGCUAUCACUCUUGGAUGGACCUGCGGUGCAUUAGCUAGUUGGUAGGGUAACGGCCUACCAAGGCGAUGAUGCAUAGCCGAGUUGAGAGACUGAUCGGCCACAUUGGGACUGAGACACGGCCCAAACUCCUACGGGAGGCAGCAGCU
This 215-nucleotide ribosomal RNA is filed under the name uncultured Lactobacillus sp. Its description in RNAcentral is "partial 16S ribosomal RNA". It matches the Rfam family "Bacterial small subunit ribosomal RNA", at positions 147 to 355 of the family's 1533-position model. Lineage: Bacteria; Bacillati; Bacillota; Bacilli; Lactobacillales; Lactobacillaceae. The record is from RNAcentral.